This is a long non-coding RNA of Passer domesticus (house sparrow), 7800 nucleotides long. RefSeq lists it as uncharacterized. The record is from RefSeq and is a predicted model, not a curated record. Lineage: Eukaryota; Metazoa; Chordata; Aves; Passeriformes; Passeridae. The transcript has 2 exons.
CAAAUCCAAGCCUAACUCCCCCUGCUCCGUGUGUCGGGAGCCGGGGCAGGAUGGUGUGGGCAGCUCCAACCUCCCCUGAGCGGCCCCGCACUCCUGCAGCCCUUCCCGCACAUAAACAAGUGUCAAAGACCUGUCUGCUCGCUGUGCCCUGCGAGAGCGCUGCCCUGCACCGAGCAUCCCCCUCCUCCUUCACUUUCCCUGCCAUCCCUCUGGCAGCAGGUUUUGUCUUUUUUUAAAAAACCCAGGUGCCAAACCUGUGUGAAAUUACUGAUAUUCACUGAAAUCUGGCUGAGAAGCACUCAGUACGGGAGGUCACGGUCAGUUUUGUGGCACCAUCACCCCCCAGCCGCUGCCUCACCUGCAGGUGGCUGGGGCUGCUCACCGACACAGAAGGGCUGUUAAAGGCGUGUUGAGCUUCAUUUACUCAAGGGUAGAAUUAAUUUGUUUGAACUAUUUAUUUCAGAUAAAAUAAUCCCUUUAAAGGCUGCUGCUACUCUGUCAUUUUAGGCAUGUCCAUGUCCACCUGCCUUCACUUUGCUUUGGUCUGUGUGGAACUGCAGAAUGUGACAAAAUGGCAUUUGCAAAAAGAACAAGUAAACACAGGCUUAAUGAACUCACUUAUUUUGCUUCCUGUACUUAUGACUCAUAAAAUGAAAAUCCUUUAAUGUUGUAACCCAAAUAAAUUGCCAUGUUGGUUGCCUCUCGACUGUACUGCAAGUAGGGAACAAGAAGGGCUGAGAGUGAGGGAUCAGGAAAAGGUAAGGAUGUGCUCAGCUCUGAUUAAGUAACAUUAUCCUGCUUCUUUUGCUUUUGAAGGGUGGAAAAGCAAGAGGUGAUGUCUAAUCCUCCCGGGCAGCAAACAAUGGGUGGGGAACGCUGAGCUGGGUGCAGCACUUGGCAGUCUUUGGGGUGCAGUGAUGAGGUGCCAGUGCUUGAUGGUAUGGAUAGAAGGGGACACGCCUCAGCCUUGUGACACGUGGGGUUAAUGGGGCAGAGCCACACCAUGUCCCUCUGAGGGGACCUGGGUGGCACUGCCACAGCAGUGUCACAUCCCAGCUCUGGGCAGGAGAGGCGUGUGCUCAUCGAUGAUGUGCUCAUUGCAUCACCUCCUGACUUGGAACAUUUUUUUAAAAAGCUGUUUCACAUAUGAAAUCCUGGGAAAGGUGAGGGCAGGAACGGGUAUUUCCACUUUUGCUCCUGGUUGUGGGCUGUGCAAGUGAUGUGAUGUGUUUGAAACCCAGAUGUUAACAUGGUCACUGUAUAAAUACAUCAAUAAAUUCGUCCAGGCUCUUGUCCAUUCACACUGACUGGACUGUGGCCAUCUAAGAAACCACCUGAAAAAUAAAGACCCAUUCUGUUAGUCAAAGGGACUCUCACAACGUCAGGUGGCACUUGCAGGGAAAUUGUCCAUCAGCUCUGCCAUGUUAGAUUAAAAGGAAGCACUAAAUUGCCUCAUGUUUUGAAGUAUUUUAUAUUUUAUUUCACGCUAUAAUUUUUUUUAACAGCCAAAUAAGAUUUAGUUUCUCAAGCAAGGGAAAAUGUGCCGGAGAGUGUAUUGAACUCAAGUUUCUGGCUCAGCGAGGGGAGGUGACCUGAGCUCAGUGCAGGAAAGAAGCUGUUGCUGUGGGAUUGCACCCAAGGAGCUGUGGGCCAGCCUGGAGAGUGCUGCCUUUAUGUCACACCCAGGGGACAGUGAUGAGUGAGAGGCCAAGGCUGGCUAUAAAAAGACCUUGCAGCAACUGGUUAAAGCACAUCUUGGCACUAUUAAUGGAUACAGAAGGGACAUGGGUCAAGAAGCUCUUUGCCAAAAUAACCUUCAUUGCACUGUAAUGUCAGAGACAAGGGAAGAGCUCCAUGAACUCAAGAACAUUUCAUUAAUAAUUAUUAGUACAAUAUUAAUAAACUAUUAUUUACAUUAUUUAUAUUAAAUAAUUUAAGUAUUUCUAUUAAAUAAUUUAUUUAUAUAUUUAUGUUAAAUAUUUCUAUUAUUAAUUUAAUUUAUUAUUUAUUUAUUAGUUCAAUGAGGCAUCUGUUUCUCCCUUUUCUCAUCUGGGAAGAGAAACAGAUGACCCAAAAUGCCAGUGCUUUUUCACCAGCUUUUUUUCAAAGGCAUUUCAAAUUCCUGCAGUCAGAGGAAUUGCUGAGGACAUGUCCCCUGUGGUUCACUACUAAUAUAUAGACAGGUUGGGUUUGUGGGUUUUUUUUGUUUUUGUUUUUUUGUUUGUUUGUGGUUUGUUUUGUUUUGUUUUGUUUUGUUUGUUUUUUGUUGUUGUUGUUGUUAUUGUUUGUUUGGGUUUUUUGUGGGUUUUUUUUCAUGAAGCUAUGCUGGCAGUCUGGAAAUUUGUGAGGAGGGUAAUGGAAUAUUGCAACAGCCCAGGAAACUGCAUAUUGUACUAGUAGAAAAAAAAUAGGAAGAGCAGAAACAAAGUUUCCUCCUCCUUUAGGCACAAAAUACACAAACAAAAGAUUUUGAAGAUGUACAGAUUGGCAUAGCAGAGGAGUUAGCACAUAAUCAAGGACAUUUUUAAAACCUGCUGAAAUGCCAUGAAAAUUCAGGGCUAUAAACACGUGGGAUGCUCCAAGUCUGAAUUGGAAUAUUCAGCACAUUCGUCACUGGGCUGGAAAAUGUUGCUGCUCUUCCAAUUUCAGGGGUUGAAGGACAACAGAAGCAUCUCAAACUCUGCUGAUUGCAGGGGUGUGUUUGGUUGGUUGGUUUUUUGGGGUUUGGUUGGGGUUUUUUUGGAUGUUAUUUUUAAUUACAGCAGAGUCAUUUUUUGGAGCCUGGUGUAAGGGCUGAGGCAGAAGCAGAGACACGAGACUACCAGAAAGAUGGCAAGGACAAUAUACAGGAUGAAUCAUUAAAUAAAAAUGUUCUUCCUUGUUGGAGAUGGGCAUAAAGAAAUAUUAGCCAGCAAGUGAAGGAAUAUCAGCCAAGAGAACACGGGGAGCUGGUGGAGGGGGAAGAUGCUCAGGGGGUGGGCACCUCCCUUCAGGGCCCCACACUCAGCUGAGCUCUGCUCCUAUAAAAAAUCACUACAAAGUCAGACUGGCAAUGGUUAAAUGAACUAAUUUCCAGCCUUGGUUCACUCUGAUCCCACUGCUGAGUCACAGAACUCCUGCACGGUCCCUGCUUCUCCCACUUCCCUGGACACUCACCCAGGGCCCAUCUCCUCAUCAGAAACCAGGCACUGUGCUGUGGCAGAGCUGAGAAACUGCAGAGAAAAGACAUUUCCAUCAUGCCCUCCUAAUAUUUCAUUUGCCUUGGAAUGAAUUUCCUCUGCUCAUCUUGUUAAAGACAGAUUAUUUUUGCUUUGCUCAUUACACAGACCUGUCUAAAGCACUGUGUCCAAGGAUGAAAAAUAAAUGAAAGCUCCAGUGGUGCCGUUACCCAGCAGAGCUGAUGGAUUGCACUCUCCUGUGGCUGCUUUCAGCUGCUGUGUCUCGUGAACCAUGCUGCUAAUUUCACAUCUCAGUUACUGCAAAAAUGCUAAAUAAAGGUUUUGUUGUUGUUUUUUUUUUCCAUUUUAUCCCUAAAAAUGUGUGAUUAUUCACAUGGCAAAAAUGAUAAAUCUAAAGAUUUGAAAAAGUGAAGAAGUGAUGGCUUCAAGUCAGCAUCAUGCACACACAACUUUCAUUUAAGUCUUGCUUAGCUGAGGAAGUACUUCCAGCAGAAAUAUUAAUUUAAGAUUUUCCUAACUUUCAUGACCAGCCUCAUCCUGAAGUUGAUUUACUUUUGCUGAGUAAUACAGGAUUUGUCUUUAAUUCUUGAAAUAAUAGGAAACAGAAAGAAGGCUUACUUAAAAAAACUACACCUAAAAUGAAUUUUUUGUGUGGUUCAGAUAUUUCUAUUAAAUUGGUUGUGCUAUGUUCCCUUCCAGGAAUUUUACAUCAACAAAAUAUGGCACCAAAAUCACUAAGCAGGGUAAAAAUCCAGAAAGAUUCCUUUGGAAAAGGUGUAUUUAAUGCAGCUGUAACACAGGGUGGAGAUGAAUAAAACACUACACAACUAUUAAAAUAAAUAUAUGCUAAAAUACCAUACCUGUUUUUAUGAAACUCUGAAUCAAAAUCAAUCAUUAAGGCCAACUGGAAAAAAACAAAGUUAAAUAGAAUUCAUUGAUUGUUAAGUCAACAAAAAUCUGAAGAAAGAUACAGAUAAAACAUUUGAAGAUCUUUAUUUUGUUUUUCUGUCCUUUUAAUCUUGCAUUUCUUUAUUUCAACAAAAAAAAAAAAAAAGGCAAAAAUUCUUGGGAAAGAACCUGUUUUUAAAAAGUUGCUAUCUAGAAGAGCUUGAGAAGUUGUUUAUUGCAUGACGACUCAUUCCCACAAUCUGUGAGUGCACUGCCACGUGCAAACCUCUUGUCUUCUCAAAAUCUGCUAAAGUUCUACAAAUCCUAAUUUCUAAACCAGGAAUAGAAGCAUCAGUGAAGAACAGCUCUGCAAAUUCUUCUACUUCCACUAGAGGAUGUUUCACUGGUCACCUUCAAAGGGCUCCCACAGCUCAGAGUGGCACAGAGGAUGAUGGUAAGUGGGUACUUACCUACCAAAAAAAAAAAUUGGUGAAGAUGCGCAUCCUGAAAUUACAGCCCUCCAGAAAGAGGUCAUAGUUGACUAUUCCCACAAAAUAAUUCAAGAAUGUCCUAAAAUUUGUAGAAAACAGAAGCAAACAUAGUGUUUAGUUUAACUGACAGCUGAGCAUUAGCUUGGCCAGGCUUUCCAGAACACACUACAAUCUCCUGGAAAGGCUGGAAAUGCACCAAGUUCAGGGCACAAUGGAAUAUCCACAGGUGAUUGUCAAAGUGUAACUGCAAUUCAAACACUGGGAAGGUCACGUGUGGCAAAGGAUCCUUCAGGGCUGGAAACUGAGACACACAAACAGAGGACAAGGAGUAACUGGGCAGUACUUACUCGGUGCUGGGCUGAGGGGUCCGGGGCUCCCUGCCCGUGGCCACGAGGCACUGCCAGCUCCUGGGGGUUCCACGGAGCAGCCCAGGACUUGACCCUGGAAAGGACAAACGGGGCCCUGCCCAGGCAGGGCACAAGUGCCCUGGACAGGAGCUCCUGAGGCUGCCUGGGGUCAGCUGGACACACAGCCCCUGGGACAGAAGGUCUCAAAGCUGCCAGCACUCUCCGGGGCUCGAGGGUUUAGGAAUUGUCCACCAGGACCUCUGCCGUGCUUCCCUGUCUGCACAUUUGGGUGCUGGAGUCACUCUCUCCCUGUCUGCACAUCUGGCUGUUGGAUUCAUUGCUCUUUAGUGACUCUAGAACUCAAUUUAUUUCAGCACUACCCCACCAAGCUGAGUGAGGACGGGUCACAGACUCCACUCACCACCUCCUCCACCUGAUCCUCAGUUCCUGGCCCCUCUGAAGUGAGCAGCACAAAUCCCACUGCCUCAGCAGGGCCAGGAUACCAUUGGAAGGAAUUUCCUUCAUUUCAAAUAUGAAGAGUUGAAGCUCUUGGAUUGCAUUAAAUGAGAAACAAAGAGUUUUAAAUGAUUUAUUUGAUUUCUCCACAUGAUCACAGUUAUAGUUUUACAUCAAUAGGGUCUGUUACUACUUACAAACAGAAUGCAUAUUAAAAUGAAAGCACUCCUUUCUUCCCCAGAGUUACAAAAGGGGUCUCGAGCCUCCCCAGAACAGAAGCUUCUUGUAAGCAUAAUGAUUUUUGAAGUCUUUAAGAGUCUGCAUUCAAGACCUAAUUCUAACAGUUUAAUACAACUCAAAGCUGAUUUAAGUUCCUAGCAGGAGAUAGGCAACCUCAAAGUGACUGCAGACUUAUAGUAAUGCUAAUUUACACACUAUGUACAAUUUAGAUAAUUCUCUCUUCCCCCUACUGGUCCCAUUUGCACCACCCCCUUUUCUCUUUUCCAAAUUGAAUCUUGUUAUUGGUUCCACUUUUCUUUGAAAUAUAUACACGAGAAUCCAUUUUUCAGUCAAGAAGUGCGAUGGUAUUUUACAAGGGAACAGCAAAAUGCAUGCUUAACUGCAGAAAACACACAGCUUCAUAUGGAACAGCAAGUCAACAUCUAGAGAUUCAGUGUUUAAAUAUCUGCUGACUGUCUUUCAGCUCAUUUUAUCAAGAAACAAGAGGCUUCUGCUGCAUGCAGUACAUGAUGGGAAAAUCAUUCUACACUGUAUGUUAGACUCUUUUUUUUAGCAAUACAAGGCGCACAUUAUAUUAGGAUGAACUUUGUUUCUUUACAUUGUUUUACAUUUCAUUCUUAACUUAAAAGAAUAAAAACCCCAAAUAUAUAUUUGAUUGUUGUCCCAGAAAAGAUUUUUUUUGUUGUUGCCACACCUUCAUUCUUUACAUUUCCCUUUCAUUUGUCCAAAUCAGCAUUACUGCUUUGCCACAUCGUUUAUGGGAAGAGAGAAUCACGGUCAGUCUAUGCAGUUCUGUACCAGUUUGUAAUUGGCAAUGGUAUCUGAUAAAAAACCCUCUCCAUUCUACUCCUGUCUGCAGGCUGAAGAAUUCAUUUUAAUUCAUUUUCUUAACCCCAGGCAGUGUUAAGUGCUGGAAUUCUCCUAUUCUAGGCACGACCCACACUGCUCUAAGCAACUGUUGAUCAAGGAUGGAGUCAGAGAGGUUUUACUAUGACCCUAUACAAGCAGCAAAGGUCUGGAGACUUGUGCUGACACCAAGACACUUUUGUUUGGUUGGAGUACAUAGAAACACAUAGUCUAAGAAACAAAACAGAACAAAACUAGGAAAAAAAAAAAAAGUAAAGUCCACUGUUUCUCCUCCUUGGCUUGAAAGAGCAAGAACAGAGUUUCCAAAUCCCGUGCUCUCAGGUUACCAGUUUUGGUUUCUAACCAGCCUCCAAGUGAUCUGUGAUUUCACACUCCCUGCAGGCCCAGGGCAGGCACAUUCUCCUCCCCAGUGUCCAUGGAACCAUGUGGAAAUGUUUCUGUGCAUGCACGUUUGUGACAUCUCCUCAACACUUUGGUUCACAAAUACAUUGACUGCACAUGGAAAAUCAGUGGGCAGGCAUUAAACUGUGGCUCACUGUUUAAGCACAGAAUAUAUGUAACUCUAAUUUAAAUGAAUGAAAGGGUUUUUUAAACACAAAGCAAAUGCAGAUCUGGGAGAUUUAACACCUUCAGCGUUAAUCAACACAGUGAGUCAGAUUUUCCUCUCCACUGCUACUGCAUAUUCUGCCUUUAUUCCAUCUACAGAAUUUUACUUCCAUUAUGCCUCUGCAUCUGAAACAAGUACAGACUCCAUCACCCAGUGAAGAGGAGCUUUCUUACCUCUGUUUUAAUUAAAAGAUGCAGUUUCUCAGAGAUGUUUGCACCUAAAUGGUUCUUCAUCUUUUCUGGAACAACCUAUAAAUUACAGUUAGACUCUACUAUUGGUACAGAUGUAUGAAGAAAAGUCUACAUAUUGAAACAUGUUAUCACUUUACUUCAACUAAUAUCAACAGUAACACUGAUAUAUUUUGCAAUUAUACAAUAUGUAGAGUGUAGCCUCACACUAAUAACAUUAGAUGACAUGCAGACAGUUCUACUUUCCCUUAUAAGAACAGUAUAUAUUUUUUAAACUGCAAGGAACAGAGCCUCAGGGGACCCAGGUGAGCCCUCUUAAGGUAAGCCGCAGAAUUUAGAAUAGAAUGAGUGACACAGAAAAAGAAUAAUAAUCACUUGUUUUCUUUUCAUGGAGAUCAUUCUGAGGAGAAGGAGCAGAAGGGGAAAACAUAUUGCACAUGUGUGAAACAAACGUGGACUGCUGGAAACAAAAGGCUAAACUCUAGAUUGCUGUAUUUGCUCUCUGUGGAGGUGAACAAAGUGCUCAGUUUGCAGUUC